CCACCACCUCUUCUCAGUCUCACUCACACAAACACAAGCAACACAGCUUAUUAGCAAGGUCCGGAAAAGGGACUUAUUUACUGUGAACCGUCAAAUUAACACGCAUGCAGUACAGAAUUCAACAGGUGGUACGUGGUGCGCCGGAGGCCGGAGCUCCAUCAUCGCCGGCCGGUACGGUACGGUACGGUACGGUCAGCCGAAGAGGUGGUGGUGCUUCUUCUCGCCGCUGGCCUCGUCGGCGUCCUUGUGGUCCUUCUUCUUCUCGUGGUGCUCGUGGAAGGCGUAGCCGCCGGCGCCCACCGCCGCCGCCGCCGCGACCUCCUCCGUGAUCUUGUGCCUGUGCGCGUGCUCGGGGUCCUUCUUCGCCUCGUGCUUCUCGUACUACAAAGAUCGAGUUCGUCAUGGAAGGUCAGCACGAAUAACAAACGAAUAGAAGUUAGAUCUGCGUGGACGACGACGACGUACAAGUGCGAAGGCGCCGGCGGCGAUGGCGCCGGCCUCGCCGAGGUGCUGCUUGUGCUUGUGCUCCUUCUCCUCCUUCUUGUACUUCUCGUACUCGUCCUCGCCGGUGGUCACCACCUCGGCGGCCACCGUCUCGGAGUACCCGUACUCGCCGGUGGGCUGCUCCUCGCCGUCCUUCUUGUGG
RNAcentral lists this long non-coding RNA (646 nucleotides) under Sorghum bicolor (sorghum). RNAcentral's name for it is "long non-coding RNA (SBIC_LNC007614)". The record is from RNAcentral. Lineage: Eukaryota; Viridiplantae; Streptophyta; Magnoliopsida; Poales; Poaceae.